RNAcentral lists this ribosomal RNA (811 nucleotides) under unidentified. Its description in RNAcentral is "Jenniferia griseocinerea partial large subunit ribosomal RNA". It matches the Rfam family "Eukaryotic large subunit ribosomal RNA", at positions 115 to 958 of the family's 3401-position model. The record is from RNAcentral.
UUGAAAUCCGGCCCCCGGCCCGAGUUGUAAUUUGCAGAGGAUGCUUCCGGCGCGGCGCCUUCCGAGUUCCCUGGAACGGGACGCCACAGAGGGUGAGAGCCCCGUCCGGUCGGACGCCAAGCCGGUGUGAAGCUCCUUCGACGAGUCGAGUAGUUUGGGAAUGCUGCUCAAAACGGGAGGUAUAUGUCUUCUAAAGCUAAAUACCGGCCAGAGACCGAUAGCGCACAAGUAGAGUGAUCGAAAGAUGAAAAGCACUUUGGAAAGAGGGUUAAAAAGUACGUGAAAUUGUUGAAAGGGAAGCGCCCGUGACCAGACUCGGGCCCGGCGGAUCACCCGGCGUUCUCGCCGGGGCACUCCGCCGGGCGCGGGCCAGCAUCAGCUCGGCGCGGGGGACAAAGGCUCUGGGAACGUGGCUCCCCCGGGAGUGUUAUAGCCCACCGCGCAAUGCCCCGCGCCGGACUGAGGUACGCGCACCGCAAGGAUGCUGGCGUAAUGGUCACCGGCGACCCGUCUUGAAACACGGACCAAGGAGUCGUCUUCGUAUGCGAGUGUUCGGGUGUCAAACCCCUACGCGGAAUGAAAGUGAACGCAGGUGGGAGCCUCGGCGCACCACCGACCGAUCCCGAUGUUCUCGGACGGAUUUGAGUAGGAGCAUACGGGGCCGGACCCGAAAGAAGGUGAACUAUGCCUGUGUAGGGUGAAGCCAGAGGAAACUCUGGUGGAGGCUCGCAGCGGUUCUGACGUGCGAAUCGAUCGUCAAACAUGGGCAUGGGGGGCGAAAGACUAAUCGAACCUUCUAGUAGCUGGUUUC